Molecule: long non-coding RNA, 3678 nt
Organism: Gasterosteus aculeatus aculeatus (three-spined stickleback)
Lineage: Eukaryota; Metazoa; Chordata; Actinopteri; Perciformes; Gasterosteidae
Source: Ensembl
CUCGCCCCGUGUGCACUCUGUGUUUUGCACAUUUGCUUUGAGUCACACCCCACCCUGCCCCGGAGAAAAAAGGCGGAUUGUUUGGCUACCCCCCGGCUCCAUUGGCAAUAGAGAAAACAAUGCUGGUUAAGCUGCCUUGUGUUGUGAACACUCACAGAGCUGUGGUGCACACUAACACGUACGUGAUAUAUGUUUCCCUAAUGAUCAGAGAUCAUCCCAUGCCAGAGGAUGUGGCAGCAGUCAUUCUAGACAUGACAACAACGGGAAAAGUUUUGGGAUAUUUACAACAUUGUAUUACCAUGGUGGACUAGUAGUGCAGCAUAGCCUGGUUUUGUUUUGUUCUGUCUGUCUUUCUUUGCCUUAUGAAAAGCAUCUUUACGUAUUUAGAAAAGCGCAAUAUAAAAGUAUUAUUAUUAUCAUUUGACACGGUCAAAAUGGCAAAAGCCAAUCCACAGGAUGGCAGAACACUGGAUAUGAAAAGGGUAUGAAUCAUAGCAGUGACUGUGUAUUUAGGGGGGGAUGAUUUGACAACUUGGAAACAGACACUAGAACCUCUUUACUAGUUUUAUCACUCUGCACCAUACUUAUUCAGGGAAUUGCAAAAUACAACUACACUCUUCAUGUAUACGUUGGUUUCAAUUAUGCGUUUUUACAAUUGAAAUAGAUCACACAAACAAAGACAGACACAUGUAUUGUGUCUUUCUUUCUUUGUGUGAUCUAUUUCAAUUGACGUCCUCCAAUUAUUUAGGUGUUAAAUUAUGAUGGUGUAGUUGGAUUGCUCAGAUAGUACAUAGUAAACCGCAUGAUUGUUUACAUCACAUACACGUGAAAAAGGCAACAUUAGACAUAUAAACUCAUAAGAAACUGCCACAAAACAUGGAAUAACAUGUUACCUGAAAAGAGAUUUAAGGAUAAUUUAGACUUUCUCUUUUUAGGAAAACUGAGAAAAUAAUCUUUCAAAUGAAAAUCUGAGAAAUAACGACAAUUUAAUUUUCUCCAUAUUUUUCCAUGAUAUUUUGCACGACGGUAAAUAAGAUGAUUCUAACAAUGAGGCUCCCUUCCCCAUUCACUGAAGCCAGAACUCUGCUCUGCAUGAUAACAAGCUGCUAGGAACAAGAGGAACCUGACGCAGAGAUACAGAAACCGCUGUUCCCAAAGGGUUGAUAUUAAGCAUUAACCGCUCAACUGUCGUCUGGCACUCUUGCCACACUGCCAGUAUAUAAUGAAUCAAACAAGAGAAGGUUAAAAGAAGACGCCACAGAUGUUUUGGCUACUUCACAGGACUUGAGACAAUAUGCUGUAGCUGGAGUUGCAUGUAGCUCCUUGUGUAACUGUAUAGUGUGUGUGUGUGUGUGGAAAAAAGGAUUAAUAAACAAAGCGUUUAGACCGCCAUGGUUUUUGGCAAACUGGUCUCCAUAGUACACCGCUGCACCCUGUCCAAGGGGCAUACAACAAGCAAUAGACCAAUUAGUGCAUGUCAAUAAAUUGACUGGUCCCGCAUGAUUGGGUAUACUGGAAAAUACAUGCAAUGCUUUGGGGUAAUUUAAGCCUGCUCUUUGAAAUAGCCUUUUGCACACUCUCAGGACAGAGUAACAAGAGCCAGGGCCACUGAGAGUUAUAAAAGGAUAAGAUAGGAAUGGUGUCUGCAAAAUAUGACUGCAAGCCCUGCACGCAUCCACAACCUGAUCUUGUCCCUUCUGUCGCUUUCUCUUUGUCUCUGCCGGUAUGAAUUGAGUGAAGAUAUUAACAUAAAGCUAUCGACAACUCAUUACUGUAUCCAUGACAUUAUAUAUAUCUCAAACACAACAGAAAUGUGUAUGGAACGGACAAAAGGGGAAGAUAGCAGUUCCACAAAGUCAGCUUUACCCAAUUAACUCGAGCAGAUCAAAUUCCACUUAGGUCAAAUAACACUGCCAGUUAUAGUAUCUUAACCAGGCGAAAAGCAUUUCAACUUAACCAAAAGAAUGUCUGUUUUCCCCAUGGGCCAUAGCGCAGCUCAUUUUACAUACCCGCCUCCUCUCUUCAUUCAGUCAAUGAAAACAGACGAGAAUAGCUGGCAAAUCUUUCACAUGAUCUUGGUUCCCUCACUUUUUUUUGGAUUUCACAUGCUUUUCAUUACUACUUAAAACUGUACUGCACUGUUCAGUUUCAGAGGGGGGCAGUGGAUUUGAAGUAGUGUCACUCUCAAAUUAGGCACAUAUUAAUAUCGCACAUUGGUUUUUUGAAAAAUAAAAUCACCCAGAGGAAAGAGAAAGACAACAUUCGUAUUCACAAAAAUAACCAGCAGGCGGAGAGAAAACUAAUUACUGAAUGUCUCGCUCCAAUGCAUAAUUUCAGAUCACACCCUCUUACUUUCUCUAUUUUGUUACGUAACUGCGUUGCAAACCACUCUCUCUUUCUAUUCCCCACGCGGCAGCGCAUGGUUGAGAGUGAAUUAUUUGAACUGUUUUGACAUACUUCUUGCAGCGCACGGAAGUGGGGAGGGAAGGAAGGAACUUGGAUAGUAAAGGGGGGUUUAGAGGCGCGGAAAUGUUCAAGAAACCUUGAAAGGAAGCAAUGGUGUGGUUGAGAAACUACUCAGUGAAAUGUAGGCAUACAGGUUAACAGAAAGGGGUGGGAGGAAACCCUGAGUACGUUUUAAAAUACCGGGCUAUCAUUAAGGAGUUUCCUCAGCAGCUUACAAAAACUAUAGGACAUUUUGAAUGCCUGCCUCACGUGUUUUAGUUGUAUAUUUGUUGGUCUCAAGUACAAAAAUCCCUCUCGAGACAAGCAUAACAUAUGCCCUUGCAUAGCUUAACCUCUUUUGGAAAUGGAGCACAGAGAAACAAUUCACUUGACAAAGAUCGUGUGACUAUUAAUUGUGUUGUAAACAGAUGCUAUAAUAAGUAAGCCUCUGUUCUUGAGAUCAUAAGACAAGCGGGCAGUCUGUGACUCAAAGCCAUCAGGCAAUAUGAAACUCAGCCAGUCCUCCAUUCUUUCUCUUCCAUUCGCUGGUGUGCCUGAAAUUGAUGUUCCUGAUGUCACAUGUCCUUUAAUUUGAUUAACAAUAUCAUCAAACGAAUAUUUGCAGAUAAAAUCAAAAUGGAUUAUUGCCAGAAGCAUCGAAGGAAACUAUGGAGGGAGGGGGGCAAAGAUAAACAGUUGAGCUUGUUUAUCCGUCAUGUAUUAUUAUUGCCUGGUAUGUGUGUUGAGCAAGGAGGAUAUGAGGACAGCAGUGUAGGCUUGGCUGGCCUUUUGAUUUUGAGCAGAACAGGUGUUGUCUGGGGGAGGAAGGAGGUCUGCAAAGAGGGGGCACCAGGCGCAAAGGCAGCCGUGUGUCAGGUUUCCACAAGACUGCCAUUUCACAGUUCCAGGUUCGGAGGAGGCUUUGCAACAAACAGAGGUUUGGCGUCUGGCCGCGUUAUGGAACACUGUUUUAAGGUGACGCUCACUUGAUGGUCUUGAAUUAGAGUUGUUGAAAAGUUGUUUUCGUUUAUCUACUUAACCGGUAACAGUUGUGUUUUGUGGUCUUGCGUUAUUGUCUAAGGACGCUUACCUUGGAUUGCUCGAACAAGGCCAAGGCCCUCAGUCGGAUGCUGUGGUUCUUGUAUUCGUGGCUUCUGUAAGCAGAGGAAGACAGUAUUAGAAUUUAAAACAUGAUUAAAUAUUUCUUAAAUAAAAAGAACGAUAAGACUUUUA